AGGAAAAGGAGAGUGUGGAUAUCUAUUGUCAAAAAACCAAAAGAUGUGAAAUGUAAAUGAGAACUCGAUUUAUAUGAAGCCAGGAAUAUCUACUGAUUAUCCUACGAAUCAUGAAACAUUAACUAACAUGCCUUUAACAUGCUUGAACUAUUAAAAGGAAAGUGAAUGCAGA
Cyanistes caeruleus (blue tit) is the source of this 172-nucleotide long non-coding RNA. RefSeq lists it as uncharacterized. The record is from RefSeq and is a predicted model, not a curated record. Lineage: Eukaryota; Metazoa; Chordata; Aves; Passeriformes; Paridae.